UGAACGCUGGCGGCGUGCUUAACACAUGCAAGUCGAACGAUGAAGCCCAGCUUGCUGGGUGGAUUAGUGGCGAACGGGUGAGUAACACGUGAGUAACCUGCCCUUGACUCUGGGAUAAGCCUGGGAAACUGGGUCUAAUACUGGAUAUGACUUCUCAUCGCAUGGUGGGGGGUGGAAAGAUUUAUUGGUCUUGGAUGGACUCGCGGCCUAUCAGCUUGUUGGUGAGGGAAUGGCUCACCAAGGCGACGACGGGUAGCCGGCCUGAGAGGGUGACCGGCCACACUGGGACUGAGACACGGCCCAGACUCCUACGGGAGGCAGCAGUGGGGAAUAUUGCACAAUGGGCGCAAGCCUGAUGCAGCGACGCCGCGUGAGGGAUGACGGCCUUCGGGUUGUAAACCUCUUUCAGUAGGGAAGAAGCGAGAGUGACGGUACCUGCAGAAGAAGCGCCGGCUAACUACGUG
This 464-nucleotide ribosomal RNA is filed under the name uncultured bacterium. Its description in RNAcentral is "partial 16S ribosomal RNA". It matches the Rfam family "Bacterial small subunit ribosomal RNA", at positions 30 to 507 of the family's 1533-position model. The record is from RNAcentral.